Molecule: ribosomal RNA, 700 nt
Filed under: uncultured bacterium
Lineage: Bacteria
Description: bacterial SSU rRNA
Rfam family: Bacterial small subunit ribosomal RNA
Source: RNAcentral
AGUGGCGGACGGGUGAGUAACACGUAGGAAUCUACCCCUGGGUGGGGAAUAACAGUUCGAAAGGGCUGCUAAUUCCGCAUGAGAUCUGUAAAGAUAAAAGGGAGGGAACUCUCGCCUGGGGAGGAGCCUGCGGCCGAUUAGCUAGUUGGUAGGGUAAAGGCCUACCAAGGCGAAGAUCGGUAGCUGGUCUGAGAGGACGAUCAGCCACACUGGAACUGACACACGGUCCAGACUCCUACGGGAGGCAGCAGGGAGGAAUAUUGCACAAUGGGGGAAACCCAGAUGCAGCAACGCCGCGUGAGUGAAGAAGGCCUUCGGGUCGUAAAGCUCUUUUCUGAGGGAUGAGGAAGGACAGUACCUUGGGAAUAAGUCUCGGCUAACUACGUGCCAGCAGCCGCGGUAAUACGUAGGAGGCGAGCGUUAUCCGGAUUUAUUGGGCGUAAAGGGCAAGUAGGCGGUUAGACAAGUUGGGUGUGACAUCUCCCGGCUCAACUGGGAGGGGCCAUUCAAGACUGUCUGACUGGAGGGCAGGAGAGGGGGGCGGAAUUCCUAGUGUAGCGGUGGAAUGCUCAGAUAUUAGGAAGAACACCAGUGGCGAAGGCGGCCUUCUGGCCUGCACCUGACGCUGAGAGGCGAAAGCUAGGGGAGCGAACGGGCUUAGAUACCCCGGUAGUCCUAGCUGUAAACGUUGGGUACUGGG